RNAcentral lists this unclassified non-coding RNA (1054 nucleotides) under Hevea brasiliensis (rubber tree). Lineage: Eukaryota; Viridiplantae; Streptophyta; Magnoliopsida; Malpighiales; Euphorbiaceae. The record is from RNAcentral.
GAUUGACUCCUGUCUGUGAAGAAGUAAGUGUUGGCAGUACAUUAAUACAUCCUAGAAACAUCCAGAUCACUUGAGAUUUAUUUGAGGGUUUCUAUUUUUUGUGAGUUUGAAGAGCCAAAAUUCUUUUGCUUGAUUACAAAUGCAGCUUUAUCAUCUUCUAUUUUAUGCGUACUUAUUGCAUGAUAAGGUUGCAUGGAUGGUAUAUGGAAUGGGUCUCAUUGAAAACCUUGGCUUUUCUGCACUUUAACCUGCUGUUCUUAAGUAGUAGAUGCAAACCAGCUACCUAUGAAGCUAGGAGCUUCUGGCCUCUUUUUUCUGACUUGUCGGACACUGGAUACAUCGGCUUGUGGAUUGAAAUCACAAAAAUUAGAUCUUGAUAUUGAUAUAUUAAUCCUUACUUUUUAAUAGUAAAAUUCUUAUGCCUAGGUAUUCUGAAUGUUAUGCCUGACAAAACCCAUUCGUGAUAAUCUCCCCUGUAGGUUAAUGAUUGAUUGCCAAAAUCACAACAGUGAUGGAUUUUAGACAAUUUAAUAAUAAUUUUUAUUAGAUUCUUCAGUCACAAACUCUUUCUUCUGUCUAUUGCAGUGCAUUAAUGAUAUAUGCAUAAUCUUUGAUUUUUUUCCUUUUCACCUAGAAUCACAAGUGAUAUCAUAUAGUUGUUACUGUGAGAUCCUUGUAACAUUUUUGUGUCAGGUGCAGAUGUAUUUUUGGAGUUUAAUGUAAAGUUUUAGUUUGCCGAAGAAAUUUCAUUAACAAUUUGAUAAAUGCAUUGCUGUUUCAUGGCUCGUAUUUUCCUUAUUUUGUGAUAUGUUGAAAACGUCAUCUAUUGAUUUCAUUGCUAUUCCUAAUAUUAAGAGGUCAGUAUUAUGGGGGUCCAUGGAAGGCUUAUUUAAAUUUGUUGAAAAGUGUGACUGACACCUGUUUAGUUCAACAAAAAAUCAGUGACUACUUGAAAUGCAAAUAUUAAUGUAAUGCUAAUAGAUUCUUUAAAAUUCAACUCAUUGGUAUAUUUGCUUGGAUGUUCAUACAGGCUAGGGUUAUUGGUAAGGCAAGU